RNAcentral lists this ribosomal RNA (510 nucleotides) under uncultured Glomus. RNAcentral's name for it is "SSU rRNA". It matches the Rfam family "Eukaryotic small subunit ribosomal RNA", at positions 569 to 1081 of the family's 1831-position model. Lineage: Eukaryota; Fungi; Glomeromycota; Glomeromycetes; Glomerales; Glomeraceae. The record is from RNAcentral.
AGCAGCCGCGGUAAUUCCAGCUCCAAUAGCGUAUAUUAAAGUUGCUGCAGUUAAAAAGCUCGUAGUUGAAUUUCGGGACCAUCAUGUCGGUCGUGCCUCGGUACGUACUGGCAUUGUUGGUUUCUCCCUUCUGACGAACCAUGAUGUCAUUUAUUUGGUGUCGUGGGAAAUCAGGACUGUUACUUUGAAAAAAUUAGAGUGUUUAAAGCAGGCUCACGCUUGAAUACAUUAGCAUGGAAUAAUGAAAUAGGACGUUUGAUUCUAUUUUGUUGGUUUCUAGGAUCGACGUAAUGAUUAAUAGGGAUAGUUGGGGGCAUUAGUAUUCAAUUGUCAGAGGUGAAAUUCUUGGAUUUAUUGAAGACUAACUACUGCGAAAGCAUUUGCCAAGGAUGUUUUCAUUAAUCAAGAACGAAAGUUAGGGGAUCGAAGACGAUCAGAUACCGUCGUAGUCUUAACCAUAAACUAUGCCGACUAGGGAUCGGAUGAUGUUAAUUUUUUAAUGACUCAUUC